AUAUUAUUUGUUUUAGGCUUCAUUUUUUCCAUCUUUGCUCUUACAGAUCUACUUAUAAAUUUCUGAUUCUUUAAAGAGAAGUAGUUUUUUGUUUUGUGUAAACUUUGCUUUGUCUUUUCGGAGCUUUUCUCUUAUCUUGUUUUGUUUCACUUGUUUGUUUUGUUAUUAUUUGCAUUAUUUUUAUGUUUUCUGCUAGAAUAUGAGUUCCAUGAAGACCAGGACUUUGCCUACUGUUUUUUCUGCUGUAGUUCCUGGGAAUCGAAUUUUUUGCUCUGACUAUGUAUUUAUUAUUAGGCCCUCCCUAUAUUUAUUUUAUGGUUCUGCAAUUGAACCCAGAGACUAGUGUGUGCUGAGCACAUGUUCUAGCACUGAGCUAUACUCCCAGCCCCUGCCCUAUUAUUUAUAUGAAGAAUAAUUGAAAGAAUGAAUGAAAUCCCUAUUACUUCCAAGCCAGAGUUUCUGCAUUCAUGCAAUGGAUAAAAUAUUUCUGCUUUACAUCUUUGUAAAUGAAAGCAAUUUUCUUCUCAGAUGCUAUGCUUCAGAGGGUGGCAGGACAGUCUGUGCUGGCAGUGGUAGGCUUCAGAACUCCCAAGCAAAGAAAUCCUUGGCCCUCUCCUUGUUUGUGCACCAACCUAGUUUCAAGUGGUUCAACUAGAUUGACAAGAGCCUGUUAGCACGAGUGAGAACAGUUUUGGUUUUUUUUGACUGUGUCUGUGGUCUUGAACUUUAGAAUGUGUAGUUUAG
RNAcentral lists this long non-coding RNA (744 nucleotides) under Marmota monax (woodchuck). Lineage: Eukaryota; Metazoa; Chordata; Mammalia; Rodentia; Sciuridae. The record is from RNAcentral.